This 73-nucleotide transfer RNA is filed under the name Camelus dromedarius (Arabian camel). It matches the Rfam family "tRNA". Rfam says of the family: Transfer RNA (tRNA) molecules are approximately 80 nucleotides in length. Their secondary structure includes four short double-helical elements and three loops (D, anti-codon, and T loops). Lineage: Eukaryota; Metazoa; Chordata; Mammalia; Artiodactyla; Camelidae. RNAcentral also lists the same sequence under 1 other name. The record is from Rfam by way of RNAcentral.
UAGGGUAUAGCUCAAGCGGCAGAGUGCAUGCCUAGCAGGUAUGAGGCCCUGGGUUCAAUUCUCAGUACCUUCA